GAAAUGAAAAAAGCACUUUUCCUCAUGGACCAACCAAAUGUUCCCACAAGGAGGUGAGUGUGGUUAUGAAUGAAGAAAGAAGACGACGCCGGGUCUGAAAGCGGCUGCGCUUUGCACGUUUGAACUCUUUCCUGCACACGAGGCAUAAGCAAAGCAUAAGGACAGUCUGUUCUUUUCAGGACUGGGGAGUAAUCACUAACAGAUUUUACAACAGCACAUAGCACCUAUCAGAGGGGGUCACCAUUGGGGAUUGCAGCGAAGAAAAGAGACAUUUGUAUUUAAGUUUUUUUUAUUGGAUGGAUCUGUUUUAGAAAGGCAUGUUUUUUUUAAGGUGAUGUGGGCACUCUCUCUCUCUCUCUCUCUCUCUCUCUCUCUCUCUCUCUCUCUCUCUCUCUCUCUCUCUCUCUCUCUUGCUUUGUUGCUCUGUCUCUCUCUGUGCUUGUCUCAUGAUGUGUUUUUGCUCCAUUUAAUGGGAUGAUGGUCCAAUGGUGAGGAAUUGCAGCCUGCUUGUUGCACACAGUGGUAUUAAUAUAGCAAAUGCACGCAUUAGUUACAUGAAAAGAACUCUUGGCUCGAGCAUGUCCGGCUUAAUAGUAGGUGUGUGAGAGGAUAGAAAUGUUGAAUGUGAGAAUGUUUACUAUGACUAGGUGUCAGCCAAAUGUUUUGCGUGCGGACUGGUGCGUGCCAUCUUGCUCUUGGGUUUUGGUUUGUGCCUGUUUAUGUACACUGCGCAUGAACUCUGAGAGGCCGCUCCAAACGGACCAAUAGACUUCUAAAUAAAUAAUAAACACA
Long non-coding RNA from Tachysurus fulvidraco (yellow catfish), 792 nucleotides. RefSeq lists it as uncharacterized. The transcript has 2 exons. The record is from RefSeq and is a predicted model, not a curated record. NCBI's taxonomy places the organism in Eukaryota, Metazoa, Chordata, Actinopteri, Siluriformes, Bagridae.